UUUAAUUGAUAGAUAAUUAAAGGAAACAACAAGAUGAUAACAAAUUUGUUGUUUAAAUACGUUUAAAUGUACAUCUUUUAAAAUAAAACGAUGUCUCCGAGACUAUAAAAUUCAAGAUGGUGGCGCCCAUGAAAAGUCGGACAGGGAAGGAACGGUUCAAGAAAAGACAUAAUUUGACGCGCGCCGAGGUGCUUUAGAAGAUCGUACUUGUGAAAUAAACUUAUUUGGGAUUCCAUGCAUAUUUGUGAGGAAUGCUUUUAUGGUAUAACCCUAAUUUUAACCAGUAAGAGACUAAGAGUUCGUAAGAUGACUUGGAGGGUCAUCGAGUUUGAUGUUCAUUGCCUCAAAUUGCGUUCAAAUUGUCACUUCGGACCAUGAUUCUUUUGCAAGAGAGCAAUUAAAUGUGAGUGAAACUCUGGUUAGGUGGUUUUUGUACAUACAGUGUGGAAAUUGCUUGCAGUUGGCAUCGGUGUUCCUAAAAGCUGAGAAAAUCCAAAGGGAUGCAGAACUUCAGUGUCAAUACUCAAUACACAGAUUGUAACAGCUAUAAUCUACAGUUCAUUGUGGGAGACCCUCAAUGUGUCGUCAAUAUUAAAUUUACAAUUAAUAUAUGAAAGGAUUUUGAAAGUAUGAACAGUGUUCAAUGCUGAAAAAUCAAAGAACUACGGGUAUUUGUGUGUGCUGAUUGGUAAAGUUUCAUGAAGAGGAGUCUGGCAGAGACGAUGGCACUUUCUCAUCUAAGCUGAUCUAUAGCUAUGUCAGAAAUGGUGAAAAUAGAUUAAUUUAUGUUUUCUCCCAAAACCAGUGAUGACAAACCUAGAGUGACUGGAACAUCUAAAGUUCUACAGUAUAUUGUCCCAAAGUUGUGUGAAUUUUUUGCUG
This is a long non-coding RNA of Saccostrea cuccullata (small rock oyster), 882 nucleotides long. RefSeq lists it as uncharacterized. The record is from RefSeq and is a predicted model, not a curated record. The transcript is spliced from 3 exons. Lineage: Eukaryota; Metazoa; Mollusca; Bivalvia; Ostreida; Ostreidae.